Molecule: ribosomal RNA, 1172 nt
Filed under: uncultured Bacteroides sp.
Lineage: Bacteria; Pseudomonadati; Bacteroidota; Bacteroidia; Bacteroidales; Bacteroidaceae
Description: bacterial SSU rRNA
Rfam family: Bacterial small subunit ribosomal RNA
Source: RNAcentral
AGUUUGAUCCUGGCUCAGGAUGAACGCUAGCUACAGGCUUAACACAUGCAAGUCGAGGGGCAGCAUUUCAGUUUGCUUGCAAACUGGAGAUGGCGACCGGCGCACGGGUGAGUAACACGUAUCCAACCUGCCGAUAACUCGGGGAUAGCCUUUCGAAAGAAAGAUUAAUACCCGAUGGUAUAAUCAGACCGCAUGGUCUUGUUAUUAAAGAAUUUCGGUUAUCGAUGGGGAUGCGUUCCAUUAGGCAGUUGGUGAGGUAACGGCUCACCAAACCUUCGAUGGAUAGGGGUUCUGAGAGGAAGGUCCCCCACAUUGGAACUGAGACACGGUCCAAACUCCUACGGGAGGCAGCAGUGAGGAAUAUUGGUCAAUGGGCGCGGGCCUGAACCAGCCAAGUAGCGUGAAGGAUGACUGCCCUAUGGGUUGUAAACUUCUUUUAUAUGGGAAUAAAGUUUUCCACGUGUGGAAUUUUGUAUGUACCAUAUGAAUAAGGAUCGGCUAACUCCGUGCCAGCAGCCGCGGUAAUACGGAGGAUCCGAGCGUUAUCCGGAUUUAUUGGGUUUAAAGGGAGCGUAGGUGGACAGUUAAGUCAGUUGUGAAAGUUUGCGGCUCAACCGUAAAAUUGCAGUUGAUACUGGCUGUCUUGAGUACAGUAGAGGUGGGCGGAAUUCGUGGUGUAGCGGUGAAAUGCUUAGAUAUCACGAAGAACUCCGAUUGCGAAGGCAGCUCACUGGACUGCAACUGACACUGAUGCUCGAAAGUGUGGGUAUCAAACAGGAUUAGAUACCCUGGUAGUCCACACAGUAAACGAUGAAUACUCGCUGUUUGCGAUAUACAGUAAGCGGCCAAGCGAAAGCAUUAAGUAUUCCACCUGGGGAGUACGCCGGCAACGGUGAAACUCAAAGGAAUUGACGGGGGCCCGCACAAGCGGAGGAACAUGUGGUUUAAUUCGAUGAUACGCGAGGAACCUUACCCGGGCUUAAAUUGCAUUUGAAUAAUCUGGAAACAGGUUAGCCGCAAGGCAAAUGUGAAGGUGCUGCAUGGUUGUCGUCAGCUCGUGCCGUGAGGUGUCGGCUUAAGUGCCAUAACGAGCGCAACCCUUAUCUUUAGUUACUAACAGGUCAUGCUGAGGACUCUAGAGAGACUGCCGUCGUAAGAUGUGAGGAAGGUGG